Molecule: ribosomal RNA, 476 nt
Filed under: uncultured Alphaproteobacteria bacterium
Lineage: Bacteria; Pseudomonadati; Pseudomonadota; Alphaproteobacteria
Description: bacterial SSU rRNA
Rfam family: Bacterial small subunit ribosomal RNA
Source: RNAcentral
GAGUUUGAUCUUGGCUCAGAACGAACGCUGGCGGCAUGCCUAACACAUGCAAGUCGAACGGGAUCCGGACUUCGGUCCGGUGAGAGUGGCGGACGGGUGAGUAACGCGUGGGAACCUGCCCAAUGGUCUGGGAUAACCGCGGGAAACUGCGGCUAAUACCGGAUAAGCCCGAGAGGGGAAAGAUUUAUCGCCGAUGGAGGGGCCCGCGUCCGAUUAGGUAGUUGGUGAGGUAACGGCUCACCAAGCCGACGAUCGGUAGCUGGUCUGAGAGGAUGAUCAGCCACACUGGGACUGAGAUACGGCCCAGACUCCUACGGGAGGCAGCAGUGGGGAAUAUUGGACAAUGGGGGCAACCCUGAUCCAGCAAUGCCGCGUGAGUGAUGAAGGCCUUAGGGUUGUAAAGCUCUUUUGCCGGGGACGAUAAUGACGGUACCCGGAGAAUAAGUCCCGGCUAACUUCGUGCCAGCAGCCGCUGU